RNAcentral lists this ribosomal RNA (551 nucleotides) under uncultured Acidobacteriota bacterium. RNAcentral describes it as "bacterial SSU rRNA". It matches the Rfam family "Bacterial small subunit ribosomal RNA", at positions 355 to 897 of the family's 1533-position model. Lineage: Bacteria; Pseudomonadati; Acidobacteriota. The record is from RNAcentral.
UGGGGAAUUUUGCGCAAAGGGCUAACGCCUGACGCAGCAACGCCGCGUGGAGGAUGAAGGUCUUUGGAUUGUAAACUCCUGUCAGCGGGGAAAAAGCGACCGGUGCUCAUACCACCGGGAGCUGAUUGUACCCGCAGAGGAAGCCCCGGCUAACUCUGUGCCAGCAGCCGCGGUAAUACAGAGGGGGCAAGCGUUAUUCGGAAUUAUUGGGCGUAAAGGGCGCGUAGGCGGCUUCGCAAGUGGAAGGUGAAAUCCCUCGGCUUAACCGAGGAACUGCCCUCCAAACUGCGUUGCUUGAGGCCGGGAGAGGUGAGUGGAAUUCCCAGUGUAGCGGUGAAAUGCGUAGAUAUUGGGAGGAACACCAGUGGCGAAGGCGGCUCACUGGACCGGUUCUGACGCUGAGGCGCGAAAGCGUGGGGAGCAAGCGGGAUUAGAUACCCCGGUAGUCCACGCCGUAAACGAUGAGUGCUUGGUGUAGCGGGUAUCGACCCCUGCUGUGCCGAAGUCAACACAUUAAGCACUCCGCCUGGGGAGUACGGUCGCAAGGCUGA